RNAcentral lists this ribosomal RNA (253 nucleotides) under uncultured bacterium. RNAcentral describes it as "partial 16S ribosomal RNA". It matches the Rfam family "Bacterial small subunit ribosomal RNA", at positions 524 to 776 of the family's 1533-position model. The record is from RNAcentral.
UACGGGGGGGGCAAGCGUUGUUCGGAAUUACUGGGCGUAAAGGGCUCGUAGGCGGCCAACUAAGUCGGUCGUGAAAUCCCCGGGCUCAACCCGGGAACUGCGUCCGAUACUGGCAGGCUUGAAUCCGGGAGAGGGAUGCGGAAUUCCAGGUGUAGCGGUGAAAUGCGUAGAUAUCUGGAGGAACACCGGUGGCGAAGGCGGCAUCCUGGACCGGCAUUGACGCUGAGGCGCGAAAGCCAGGGGAGCAAACGGG